AUUGAACGCUGGCGGCAUGCUUUACACAUGCCAGUCGAACGGUAACAGGCCUUCGGGUGCUGACGAGUGGCGAACGGGUGAGUAAUGCAUCGGAACGUACCCAGAGGUGGGGGAUAACGCAGCGAAAGCUGUGCUAAUACCGCAUGUGAUCUGAGGAUGAAAGCGGGGGACCGCGCAGCAAUGUUUGGCCUCGCGCCUUUGGAGCGGCCGAUGUCGGAUUAGCUAGUUGGUGGGGUAAAGGCCUACCAAGGCGACGAUCCGUAGCUGGUCUGAGAGGACGACCAGCCACACUGGAACUGAGACACGGCCCAGACUCCUACGGGAGGCAGCAGUGGGGAAUUUUGGACAAUGGGCGCAAGCCUGAUCCAGCAAUGCCGCGUGCGGGAAGAAGGCCUUCGGGUUGUAAACCGCUUUUGGCAGGAACGAAACGGUGUCCGCUAAUACCGGGCGCUAAUGACGGUACCUGCAGAAUAAGCACCGGCUAACUACGUG
This 492-nucleotide ribosomal RNA is filed under the name uncultured bacterium. Its description in RNAcentral is "partial 16S ribosomal RNA". It matches the Rfam family "Bacterial small subunit ribosomal RNA", at positions 29 to 507 of the family's 1533-position model. The record is from RNAcentral.